GACGAACGCUGGCGGCGUGCUUAACACAUGCAAGUCGAACGGUGAAGCGCCUUCCUUUUUGGUGGGUGUGGAUGAGUGGCGAACGGGUGAGUAACACGUGAGUAACCUGCCCCCUUCUUCUGGAUAACCGCAUGAAAGUGUGGCUAAUACGGGAUAUUCUGGGUCUGUCGCAUGAUGGGUCCGGGAAAGAUAUUGUUUCGGUGGGGGAUGGGCUCGCGGCCUAUCAGCUUGUUGGUGGGGUGAUGGCCUACCAAGGCGGUGACGGGUAGCCGGCCUGAGAGGGUGGACGGUCACACUGGGACUGAGACACGGCCCAGACUCCUACGGGAGGCAGCAGUGGGGAAUAUUGCACAAUGGGCGCAAGCCUGAUGCAGCGACGCCGCGUGAGGGAUGGAGGCCUUCGGGUUGUGAACCUCUUUCGCCAGUGAAGCAGGCCUGCCUCGUUUGUGGGUGGGUUGACGGUAGCUGGAGAAGAAGCGCCGGCUAACUACGUG
RNAcentral lists this ribosomal RNA (494 nucleotides) under uncultured bacterium. Its description in RNAcentral is "partial 16S ribosomal RNA". It matches the Rfam family "Bacterial small subunit ribosomal RNA", at positions 28 to 507 of the family's 1533-position model. The record is from RNAcentral.